GACAGAGGGUGCAAACGUUGUUCGGAAUUACUGGGCGUAAAGCGAGUGUAGGCGGCUAUGCAAGUCGGGUGUGAAAUCCCACGGCUCAACCGUGGAAGUGCACUCGAAACUACGUAGCUGGAGUUCUGGAGAGGAAGGUGGAAUGCUCGGUGUAGAGGUGAAAUUCGUAGAUAUCGAGUGGAACACCGGUGGCGAAGGCGGCCUUCUGGACAGAAACUGACGCCGAGACGCGAAAGCGUGGGGAGCAAACAGG
RNAcentral lists this ribosomal RNA (253 nucleotides) under uncultured bacterium. RNAcentral's name for it is "partial 16S ribosomal RNA". It matches the Rfam family "Bacterial small subunit ribosomal RNA", at positions 524 to 776 of the family's 1533-position model. The record is from RNAcentral.